GACGUAGGGCGCGAGCGUUGUCCGGAUUUAUUGGGCGUAAAGAGCUCGUAGGCGGUUUGUCGCGUCGUCCGUGAAAACUCACAGCUUAACUGUGAGCUUGCGGUCGAUACGGGCAGGCUAGAGUUCGGUAGGGGAGACUGGAAUUCCUGGUGUAGCGGUGAAAUGCGCAGAUAUCAGGAGGAACACCGGUGGCGAAGGCGGGUCUCUGGGACGGUACUGACGCUGAGACGCGAAAGCGUGGGGAGCGAACAGG
Molecule: ribosomal RNA, 253 nt
Filed under: uncultured bacterium
Lineage: Bacteria
Description: partial 16S ribosomal RNA
Rfam family: Bacterial small subunit ribosomal RNA
Source: RNAcentral